Molecule: long non-coding RNA, 689 nt
Organism: Pseudomyrmex gracilis
Lineage: Eukaryota; Metazoa; Arthropoda; Insecta; Hymenoptera; Formicidae
Exons: 3
Source: RefSeq, a predicted model, not a curated record
CGCACAUGUAUUUUAAAUUUUUAAUANUUGUCUUAGGUAAAUUAUUUCCGCUAUAUGGGUGGUUUUAAUCUGAGAGAAGCUAUCAAUCUGUGUUUCAAAGAAGGACUGAAAGACUCUUUGACACCAUCAUUCACUUGGUGGGGUCGCAAAGGAGGACAAAGACCUUUAUAUAACACUCGUCUUGUUAUGGCAAUCUAUGAUGGUGUGUGCAAUAAUUGUCAUUUUCAAAAACCAACACGCUCUGAAUUUCAAGCACAAAUGAAGGAGGNUCUUCGAACAGCCAAGGAAAGAUUACGGCAUAGAGUACGAGGUGUACGACAGCCAACAAGAGGAAGGAUUCGCCGCAAUUUGUGGAGUGACGAACAACGUUCGGAANCGGAAGAAACAAACACUGACGAAAAUGAAUAAAAUUUUUAGGUACACUGAUGCACUCAAGAUUAAAAGACACAUCCUACCUACACACAAAUUCAUCUUUUUUCCGAAGAGGAGAGAAGGAAAUUGGCACUAUUCAGCGCCCAUUUUUAAAUUAUUUAUACUUUGGAUAUUUCUCCGGUGUUUCGCAAUAUCUAUCGGCACUUUUCAGUGCUAUAAAAUAUUCUUUUCCAGGACAUGCAUUAUGAAACUUUGAAAUAAAUUCCGAUCAGAAUUGUUUUGUUAUUGUUUAGAUUUCUAUAAUGUUCCUUACGAAA